UACUACGCUAUGAGGUUGAAUGGUUUACAGAAUAGUUUUUUUUGGUGUCGCUGUUGUGCUCUUUUUAGUCUUGGUGAUUACUUUGUUUUAUGGCAUUUUGAAUCUAAUUUGAGUUAAUUUGCAGAUUAACAGUUUUAUGCUACCAUCUCUCACGUCACUCCUAAAUCUUCACCUUUCAUACGCACUCUCAGUUUGGCCUCCUCCACCACUAUAAGAUUCUGUGCUCCAUUGGCUUUUGCAGAUGCUAUGCUCCAGUCUUGAACUACAGAAAAAUUCAUAAAUAUUUGAUACUUUUUAUAUUGUAUUUGAGUUGUAAUGUAAAUAGCAAAAAACUGAACAAAAUAGAAAGGAAAGUACCACAUAAAAACAUAAAAAAAAUCAUACACAAGUAUUAGAAUAACCAAGAUUAGAGAGAAAAGUACCACUAAAAAUAUAAAAAAAUACAAAAGAAUUAGCAUAACCAAGAUUAGAGAGUUUGCAGGAAAGUACCACAUAAAAAACAUGCAAAAGAAUUAGAAUUACAAAUAUUAGAGAGAGAAAGUUUGCAUUUCGAAAAUAUGGACUGAAAUAAUCUGAUAUUUAUAGGCAUCAAGUGAUCAGCAAAUUGGCUCCAAGAUUGCUUGUUUUUAAAUUUCAAAUUGAAGUUUGGGCGCCAGUUUUGGAGCUAAAUUGUAAAGAGCUAGUUGUUACAGCUGUAUAAAGUGAAGGAAUAAUUUUAUUCAUUGGACAUUU
This is a long non-coding RNA of Salvia miltiorrhiza (redroot sage), 732 nucleotides long. RefSeq lists it as uncharacterized. Lineage: Eukaryota; Viridiplantae; Streptophyta; Magnoliopsida; Lamiales; Lamiaceae. The transcript is spliced from 2 exons. The record is from RefSeq and is a predicted model, not a curated record.